UUUGGCGGCCACAGCGGCGGGGCACACCCGGUCCCUUUUCGAACCCGGAAGUUAAGCCCGCCCACGUCCCAGCCAGUACUGAGGUACGCGAGUCCCCGGGAAACCUGGAACGCCGCCAACC
This is a non-coding RNA of Methanocella paludicola SANAE, 121 nucleotides long. Lineage: Archaea; Methanobacteriati; Methanobacteriota; Methanomicrobia; Methanocellales; Methanocellaceae. The record is from Rfam.